This 253-nucleotide ribosomal RNA is filed under the name uncultured bacterium. RNAcentral describes it as "partial 16S ribosomal RNA". It matches the Rfam family "Bacterial small subunit ribosomal RNA", at positions 524 to 776 of the family's 1533-position model. The record is from RNAcentral.
UACGAAGGGAGCUAGCGUUGUUCGGAAUCACUGGGCGUAAAGCGCACGUAGGCGGAUUUGUCAGUCAGGGGUGAAAUCCCGGGGCUCAACCUCGGAACUGCCUUUGAUACAGCAAGUCUUGAGUUCGAGAGAGGUGAGUGGAAUUCCGAGUGUAGAGGUGAAAUUCGUAGAUAUUCGGAAGAACACCAGUGGCGAAGGCGGCUCACUGGACCGGCAUUGACGCUGAGGUGCGAAAGCGUGGGGAGCAAACAGG